RNAcentral lists this ribosomal RNA (434 nucleotides) under Escherichia coli. Its description in RNAcentral is "bacterial SSU rRNA". It matches the Rfam family "Bacterial small subunit ribosomal RNA", at positions 1048 to 1482 of the family's 1533-position model. The record is from RNAcentral. Lineage: Bacteria; Pseudomonadati; Pseudomonadota; Gammaproteobacteria; Enterobacterales; Enterobacteriaceae.
GCUGUCGUCAGCUCGUGUUGUGAAAUGUUGGGUUAAGUCCCGCAACGAGCGCAACCCUUAUCCUUUGUUGCCAGCGGUCCGGCCGGGAACUCAAAGGAGACUGCCAGUGAUAAACUGGAGGAAGGUGGGGAUGACGUCAAGUCAUCAUGGCCCUUACGACCAGGGCUACACACGUGCUACAAUGGCGCAUACAAAGAGAAGCGACCUCGCGAGAGCAAGCGGACCUCAUAAAGUGCGUCGUAGUCCGGAUUGGAGUCUGCAACUCGACUCCAUGAAGUCGGAAUCGCUAGUAAUCGUGGAUCAGAAUGCCACGGUGAAUACGUUCCCGGGCCUUGUACACACCGCCCGUCACACCAUGGGAGUGGGUUGCAAAAGAAGUAGGUAGCUUAACCUUCGGGAGGGCGCUUACCACUUUGUGAUUCAUGACUGGGGUG